RNAcentral lists this ribosomal RNA (251 nucleotides) under uncultured bacterium. RNAcentral describes it as "partial 16S ribosomal RNA". It matches the Rfam family "Bacterial small subunit ribosomal RNA", at positions 524 to 776 of the family's 1533-position model. The record is from RNAcentral.
GACGGGGGGGGCAAGUGUUCUUCGGAAUGACUGGGCGUAAAGGGCACGUAGGCGGUGAAUCGGGUUGAAAGUGAAAGCCGCCAAAAACUGGCGGAAUGCUCUCGAAACCAAUUCACUUGAGUGAGACAGAGGAGAGUGGAAUUUCGUGUGUAGGGGUGAAAUCCGGAGAUCUACGAAGGAACGCCAAAAGCGAAGGCAGCUCUCUGGGUCCCUACCGACGCUGAGGUGCGAAAGCAUGGGGAGCGAACAGG